UACGGGAGGCAGCAGUGGGGAAUAUUGCACAAUGGGCGAAAGCCUGAUGCAGCUAUGCCGCGUGUAUGAAGAAGGCCUUAGGGUUGUAAAGUACUUUCAUCGGGGAGGAAAAACAAAACUAAUAAUUUUAUUUCUUGACGUUACCCGAAAAAGAAGCACCGGCUAACUCCGUGCCAGCAGCCGCGGUAAUACGGAGGGUGCGAGCGUUAAUCGGAAUUACUGGGCGUAAAGGGCACGCAGGCGGUUAAUUAAGUUGGAUGUGAAAUCCCGGGCUUAACCUGGGAAUGGCAUUCAAGACUGGUUAGCUAGAGUCUUGUAGAGGGGGUAGAAUUCCAUGUGUAGCGGUGAAAUGCGUAGAGAUGUGGAGGAAUACCGGUGGCGAAGGCGGCCCCUGGACAAAGACUGACGCUCGAUGUGCGAAAGCGUGGGGAGCAAACGAGGGAUUAGAUACCCGU
Molecule: ribosomal RNA, 455 nt
Filed under: uncultured bacterium
Lineage: Bacteria
Description: bacterial SSU rRNA
Rfam family: Bacterial small subunit ribosomal RNA
Source: RNAcentral